Molecule: ribosomal RNA, 274 nt
Filed under: uncultured bacterium
Lineage: Bacteria
Description: partial 16S ribosomal RNA
Rfam family: Bacterial small subunit ribosomal RNA
Source: RNAcentral
AAACUUUUGAUGGCGACCGGCGCACGGGUGAGUAACACGUAUCCAACCUGCCUCAUACUCGGGGAUAGCCUUUCGAAAGAAAGAUUAAUACCCGAUGUCAUAGUCCUACCGCAUGAUGGGAUUAUUAAAGAAUUUCGGUAUGGGAUGGGGAUGCGUUCCAUUAGUUAGUUGGCGGGGUAACGGCCCACCAAGACAACGAUGGAUAGGGGUUCUGAGAGAAAGGUCCCCCACAUUGGAACUGAGACACGGUCCAAACUCCUACGGAAGGCAGCAG